Molecule: ribosomal RNA, 1405 nt
Filed under: Salmonella enterica subsp. enterica serovar Meleagridis
Lineage: Bacteria; Pseudomonadati; Pseudomonadota; Gammaproteobacteria; Enterobacterales; Enterobacteriaceae
Description: partial 23S ribosomal RNA
Rfam family: Bacterial large subunit ribosomal RNA
Source: RNAcentral
CUGAGGCGUGACGACGAGGCACUACGGUGCUGAAGCAACAAAUGCCCUGCUUCCAGGAAAAGCCUCUAAGCAUCAGGUAACAUCAAAUCGUACCCCAAACCGACACAGGUGGUCAGGUAGAGAAUACCAAGGCGCUUGAGAGAACUCGGGUGAAGGAACUAGGCAAAAUGGUGCCGUAACUUCGGGAGAAGGCACGCUGACACGUAGGUGAAGUGAUUUACUCAUGGAGCUGAAGUCAGUCGAAGAUACCAGCUGGCUGCAACUGUUUAUUAAAAACACAGCACUGUGCAAACACGAAAGUGGACGUAUACGGUGUGACGCCUGCCCGGUGCCGGAAGGUUAAUUGAUGGGGUCAGCGCAAGCGAAGCUCCUGAUCGAAGCCCCGGUAAACGGCGGCCGUAACUAUAACGGUCCUAAGGUAGCGAAAUUCCUUGUCGGGUAAGUUCCGACCUGCACGAAUGGCGUAAUGAUGGCCAGGCUGUCUCCACCCGAGACUCAGUGAAAUUGAACUCGCUGUGAAGAUGCAGUGUACCCGCGGCAAGACGGAAAGACCCCGUGAACCUUUACUAUAGCUUGACACUGAACAUUGAGCCUUGAUGUGUAGGAUAGGUGGGAGGCUUUGAAGUGUGGACGCCAGUCUGCAUGGAGCCGACCUUGAAAUACCACCCUUUAAUGUUUGAUGUUCUAACGUGGACCCGUAAUCCGGGUUGCGGACAGUGUCUGGUGGGUAGUUUGACUGGGGCGGUCUCCUCCUAAAGAGUAACGGAGGAGCACGAAGGUUGGCUAAUCCUGGUCGGACAUCAGGAGGUUAGUGCAAUGGCAUAAGCCAGCUUGACUGCGAGCGUGACGGCGCGAGCAGGUGCGAAAGCAGGUCAUAGUGAUCCGGUGGUUCUGAAUGGAAGGGCCAUCGCUCAACGGAUAAAAGGUACUCCGGGGAUAACAGGCUGAUACCGCCCAAGAGUUCAUAUCGACGGCGGUGUUUGGCACCUCGAUGUCGGCUCAUCACAUCCUGGGGCUGAAGUAGGUCCCAAGGGUAUGGCUGUUCGCCAUUUAAAGUGGUACGCGAGCUGGGUUUAGAACGUCGUGAGACAGUUCGGUCCCUAUCUGCCGUGGGCGCUGGAGAACUGAGGGGGGCUGCUCCUAGUACGAGAGGACCGGAGUGGACGCAUCACUGGUGUUCGGGUUGUCAUGCCAAUGGCACUGCCCGGUAGCUAAAUGCGGAAGAGAUAAGUGCUGAAAGCAUCUAAGCACGAAACUUGCCCCGAGAUGAGUUCUCCCUGAGACUUAGAGUCUCCUGAAGGAACGUUGAAGACGACGACGUUGAUAGGCCGGGUGUGUAAGCGCAGCGAUGCGUUGAGCUAACCGGUACUAAUGAACCGUGAGGCUUAACCUUACAACGCCGAAG